GACGAACGCUGGCGGCGUGCUUAACACAUGCAAGUCGAACGGAAAGGCCCUGCUUUUGUGGGGUGCUCGAGUGGCGAACGGGUGAGUAACACGUGAGUAACCUGCCCUUGACUUUGGGAUAACUUCAGGAAACUGGGGCUAAUACCGGAUAGGAGCUCCUGCUGCAUGGUGGGGGUUGGAAAGUUUCGGCGGUUGGGGAUGGACUCGCGGCUUAUGAGCUUGUUGGUGGGGGAGUUGCUUACCCAGGCUUCGACGGAUAGGCGGCCUGAGAGGGUGACCGGCCACAUGAGGACUGAGGUACGGAGCAGACGGCAACGGGAGGCAGCAGUGGAAAGUAUUGCACAAUGGGCGGGAGCGUGUGACAGAAACGCCGCGUGCGGGAAGACGGCCUUCGGGUGAUAAACCGCUUUCGCCUGUGACGAAGCGUGAGUGACGGUACUGGGUAAAGAAGCACCGGCUAACUACGUG
This 468-nucleotide ribosomal RNA is filed under the name uncultured bacterium. Its description in RNAcentral is "partial 16S ribosomal RNA". It matches the Rfam family "Bacterial small subunit ribosomal RNA", at positions 28 to 507 of the family's 1533-position model. The record is from RNAcentral.